RNAcentral lists this long non-coding RNA (1468 nucleotides) under Equus asinus (donkey). RNAcentral's name for it is "lncRNA (ENSEASG00005026209.1)". Lineage: Eukaryota; Metazoa; Chordata; Mammalia; Perissodactyla; Equidae. The record is from RNAcentral.
AGGAAGCCUGCCUGAACCUUCCAGGCUGGUCAAGUGGCCCCCGGCUGGCUCCUAUAACACCCCGCCCCUCCCCCUCUUAGCCUGGGUCCUGGAGUUUUGCUACUGCUGCUCCACCUGCCUGAGGGCUCCAGGAGGGCAGAGAGGGGCCUUACUCAUCUCUGUGGCCCCAGUGCCCAGCCCUGGCCCAGAGCAGGACAUGUCCACAGAGGGAAGGUAUAAGGCAGCAAACCCAUCUCCGUCUCCUCCCCCAGGCUGGUCAGCUGGCUUGGCUGCUGGGAUCGCCUCCAGGUCGGCUCCUGCGUCUGACAUCCCCGCAUCUGUUUAUUUUUUGAGCAUCGCCUUGCUCUCUAGCACUCCAAGACGCUCCUGGCUCCUAUUCCACUGCUGCAGCCCUGGAGUCUGUUGUCUUUCUGAGCUGUGCUGGUUCCUUUUCCUGGAGAGCGGUGUUUGAGAGUGGUGUUUAGGAACCAAGAUCUGGGCCGGAUGUGCUCAUUGCUACUGGGGUGUGACUGCUUCUAGGCCCUCUGGGGGCAGAGCUACGUUUUGCUUUAAUUAAAAAAAAAAAUUAAGUUUCUCCUCUUGCCAGUUGUGGGGGUCUGUUGGAGGCUCCAGACAACAGCCCACUGGCUUUGGAGACCAGACCCCAGUCUGCAGCCCACGGGCCUGUGCAACCUCAUGUGCCCUUAGCAGGGCUCCAAGGGUGAGAGCUCAUGAGGCCACCUGCCCCUAUGUCCCCUUCUGCUCACCACCAGGGCCAUCGGGGGGCCAAGUUGUUUUGGGAAUGGGACUCAGGCCUGGCCUCGGGUGCCCUCGCAGCCCGGAUUGCUGCCAGGUUGCAGGCUUGCCCCCUGCUGGGUCCACAGCUCUGGCAGUGGAGGUGGCAGAUGACAUGGCCCAGUCACAGAGCCAUGGUGGCCACCUGGGGUGGCCAGGCCAGGGUCAGGUCCCAGGAAGGCCUGACUCAGCCACCAUGCCCAGCUCGCCCAGGGGCCCAGUGCUAACGGGAGGAAGGCCUGCCGAGCUGGUCCUUGAGCUCCCUCACCUUUCCCAGCCCCAGCCCGCCUGACAGGGCACCACUCCCUGAUGCUCAGUGCACCAGGGCCCAGAGCCGGUUCCCCAUCAGGGCAGCUCUCCGGCAGCUGCUGGGAGUCAGGGCAGAGCGGGCCAGCCUUGAGACCCAAGGCAAGCUGAACACCCUCCCCACUUAGCCAGAAUGUCUCAUCUGUCUCCCGACAGCUCCAGGCUAGGAGUCAGGAUGCUGGAAUUCCAGGCCUGCCUCUACCAGUGACUUCUGUUUGGGGCACGGCAACAUUGUCUCACCUUGCUUAAAAUCUUCAGUGGCUCCCCAGUGCCCUCAACUUAAAAUCUCCACUUCUGGAUCUGCUUUAGGAGGCCUGGAGACCUCUCCAGCACCCCACCUCAUGCCCUAAUAACACCAAAUCACUUGUGGUUCCCCCUUACACAACCA